Molecule: ribosomal RNA, 325 nt
Filed under: uncultured eukaryote
Lineage: Eukaryota
Description: partial 18S ribosomal RNA
Rfam family: Eukaryotic small subunit ribosomal RNA
Source: RNAcentral
CCCUUAGAUGUUCUGGGCUGCACGCGCGCUACACUGAUGCGUUCAACGAGUUUAUGACCUUGCCCGAUAGGGUUGGGUAAUCUUUUUAAAUCGCAUCGUGAUGGGGAUAGAUUAUUGCAAUUAUUAAUCUUCAACGAGGAAUUCCUAGUAAGCGCGAGUCAUCAGCUCGUGCUGAUUACGUCCCUGCCCUUUGUACACACCGCCCGUCGCUCCUACCGAUUGAAUGGUCCGGUGAAAUCUCCGGACUGGCGUGAGUCGGAGCAAUCUGACAAACACCGGAAAGUUGAUUAAACCUUACCAUUUAGAGGAAGGUGAAGUCGUAACA